UGAAAACACAAGAAGGGGGGGUUGAAUUGUGUUUUAGCAAAGUUAAAACUUUUUCAAGUUCUUAACUCAACUAAGUUAGCAGCGGAUAAAUAACACAAAUAACAACACGAAAGAGAGAGAAAGAUCACACAAGCAAUUUAUACUGGUUCCUCUCACAAAACGAGAGUAGUCCAGUCCCCUUGCACUUCCAAGGGAUUUCACUAUAAUCACACAAGAUUACACCUGCUCAAGCACACAAGCAAGAGACUUCUCAACAAUGCUCAAGCACACAAGCAAGAGAC
This 281-nucleotide long non-coding RNA is filed under the name Trifolium pratense (red clover). Its description in RNAcentral is "long non-coding RNA (TPRA_LNC010165)". Lineage: Eukaryota; Viridiplantae; Streptophyta; Magnoliopsida; Fabales; Fabaceae. The record is from RNAcentral.